GGUUGCCAGGCAGAAGGCGCGGAGGCAUGGCGGGAACGGCGCUGGGCGCGGGGCCGGGCGCGCUGCUGCUGGCGGGGCUGUGGGCGCUGGCGCUGCUGCUCUGCCUGCUGCUCGCUCGCGCCUCGGGGGCCGCGCGGCUGGCCGCGCUGCUCGUGCCGCUGUGCGCCGCGCUGCUGAGCGCCGCGCUGCUGCUGUACCCGCGGGAGGACGGCAGUGCGGGGCCGCCCGCGGGCCCCCAGAUCGUGGACACCUUCCUGGUGGGCCGCCUGGUGCUGCUGGCCUUCAUGGCCCUGCUGCUGCUGGGCUGCGGGCUGCUGCUGGGGAUGCACCUCCUGGAGCCGAUCCACGCCAAGGCGCUGCGCUGCUGGAGGUGAGGCUGUGCCACGGAGCUGUUCUGCAGGGAUUUCGGUGGAUCCCCUUCUGCCCAUCAGCGGAAAUGGGACGAGCGGAGAUGGAGCACUGACUGGUUGGUGGCUCAGUGAUCCGGGGGGCCUCUUCCAGCCGAUUCUGUUAUCCCUGUGAGCCCACCUGUCUCAGGCUGAGCCUGAGGCCUCGGUGAUCCACAUCCCAUCCAGGAGGAUCGUGCUAAAUCCCAGCAAGAGAACCCCCACAUCAGGAGUGCUGUGAGCGGCAGCAGCGGGCUGAAAGCUGCUCAUGGGCUGCUGGGACGACAGCCCUCCUUGCACCAAGCUCUGCCUGCUCAUUAGGAAGGAGCGGGGCUGCUCGGCUGCUGGGAUUCUGGUGCCCAGCACAGGAGAAUCUCCUGCUCCUGAUUUAAGGUCUGUGAGUGACGGCAAUUCCUCACGCCGCGUGCCGUGCUCUGCUGGCGUUUAAUUACUCUCUCUGGCACAGAACUGGCCUCUGAUUUCCACCUUGACUUUGCUGACUUCAGCUUCCCGCUGUUGAGGCCCGCUUUGCCUUUGGCUGCUAAUUAAAAAGCCCUUCAGCGCCCGCCAGCUGCUCCUUGCGCGGGUAAUUACGGCCCGUGCCCGAACCACCUCCUCACCCCUGCAGAGCCAGCACUGCUCCAAAGGCAGCUCGGCCCUUCCUGGCACGGCUCAGAGAGCAGCACUGCAGGUCGCGGAUGGAUGAGCGCACAGGGGCGGCUGCUGGAGGGGAAUGCGGUGCUGCCCCUCACAGCUUUGUGUGCCCUAAAAUCCCAAUUUUCCCAAGCAGAGGAGCAUGAGCUUUUUAGUGCCUGGGUGCUGUGAUCGACCCAGGGAUGCAGCCCUCCCGUUGGUCUCUGAAGUCCCGGCGCGAUGCCUGAUUCCUGGCACUGGGCUCUGGUGUUCCCAGCACUGCAGUCAGGGCUGCUCACAUUUUCCAAGCCCAGCUGCAGCAGAACGCAGCUUCAGUUCAUCCUGGAAAAACUGUGAGCUGAGGCAACAAAGGGCAGAAGGUGGAAAAAAAAAAAAAAAAAGGAAGAAAUGAAAAAAGCCUGUGGUUUUGCAACAAGCCCCUGUGUGUGUGUGUCACAUCUGUGGGAUUUUUGCUUUAGGUGUGUAUUUCAGCCUUCCCCAUCCUCCCAUUGCAAUUAAGGCUAAGCUCAGUUUCACAUGUACCCAGAGUUGGACUCAGUGAUCCUUCAACUCAGGAUAUUCUGUGAUUCUGACUGUUCUCAGCCCAUCUUGGUGAUAUUGUGCUGGCAAACUGGGAAUUUGCUUCUCUCUCUUUCCUCCCUGGUUUGCUGGGUGCACAGCAGUGGCCAUUGCUUUCCAAAUCCAUCCAUCACUGUGCAGGGACACGCUGCACGUUGCUCCACUGCCCCACAGGGCCUUGUUUUUCUUCUUUUCUCCCCUCUUUUCCUCUCCAGCGAUGAAAUCAGCGCAUAAUAAAACACGGGGCCCAGAUGUGUUCUCUUUGGGCCAGGAUCCAUGCGCCCCAAUCCACGCCACCCCUCAUACUGAGCCCCCCCAAACACACAGCUGGCUGCACAGCUGGCAUCACACUAAUUAGGUGGCCCUCCUGUUCCACUCCUCUAAUUAGGAGAUGGCUAACGAAGGCCGUCAGCCUCCUGCACUGAAACGAGAGCACGCAUGCUGAUGCGCCCAUCGGGACCUGUCUCCUGUCCUGAUGCUGAGCGGUACGGCGGGGCAGAGCGGGGUGAACGGAGCCACGAGGAGCAGCAGCGUCUGCACUGCAGCUCACGGGGAAGGGAUGGCGCUGCU
Lagopus muta (rock ptarmigan) is the source of this 2168-nucleotide RNA transcript. It is a transcript of the gene named transmembrane protein 218, with no coding region annotated. The record is from RefSeq and is a predicted model, not a curated record. NCBI's taxonomy places the organism in Eukaryota, Metazoa, Chordata, Aves, Galliformes, Phasianidae. The transcript is spliced from 4 exons.